RNAcentral lists this ribosomal RNA (1371 nucleotides) under uncultured bacterium. RNAcentral describes it as "bacterial SSU rRNA". It matches the Rfam family "Bacterial small subunit ribosomal RNA", at positions 28 to 1381 of the family's 1533-position model. The record is from RNAcentral.
GAUGAACGCUGGCGGCGUGCCUAAUACAUGCAAGUCGAGCGAACGGACGAGAAGCUUGCUUCUCUGAUGUUAGCGGCGGACGGGUGAGUAACACGUGGAUAACCUACCUAUAAGACUGGGAUAACUUCGGGAAACCGUAGCUAAUACCGGAUAAUAUUUUGAACCGCAUGGUUCAAAAGUGAAAGACGGUCUUGCUGUCACUUAUAGAUGGAUCCGCGCUGCAUUAGCUAGUUGGUAAGGUAACGGCUUACCAAGGCAACGAUGCAUAGCCGACCUGAGAGGGUGAUCGGCCACACUGGAACUGAGACACGGUCCAGACUCCUACGGGAGGCAGCAGUAGGGAAUCUUCCGCAAUGGGCGAAAGCCUGACGGAGCAACGCCGCGUGAGUGAUGAAGGUCUUCGGAUCGUAAAACUCUGUUAUUAGGGAAGAACAUAUGUGUAAGUAACUGUGCACAUCUUGACGGUACCUAAUCAGAAAGCCACGGCUAACUACGUGCCAGCAGCCGCGGUAAUACGUAGGUGGCGAGCGUUAUCCGGAAUUUAUGGGCGUAAAGCGCGCGUAGGCGGUUUUUUAGUCUGAUGUGAAAGCCCACGGCUCAACCGUGGAGGGUCAUUGGAAACUGGAAAACUUGAGUGCAGAAGAGGAAAGUGGAAUUCCAUGUGUAGCGGUGAAAUGCGCAGAGAUAUGGAGGAACACCAGUGGCGAAGGCGACUUUCUGGUCUGUAACUGACGCUGAUGUGCGAAAGCGUGGGGAUCAAACAGGAUUAGAUACCCUGGUAGUCCACGCCGUAAACGAUGAGUGCUAAGUGUUAGGGGGUUUCCGCCCCUUAGUGCUGCAGCUAACGCAUUAAGCACUCCGCCUGGGGAGUACGACCGCAAGGUUGAAACUCAAAGGAAUUGACGGGGACCCGCACAAGCGGUGGAGCAUGUGGUUUAAUUCGAAGCAACGCGAAGAACCUUACCAAAUCUUGACAUCCUUUGACAACUCUAGAGAUAGAGCCUUCCCCUUCGGGGGACAAAGUGACAGGUGGUGCAUGGUUGUCGUCAGCUCGUGUCGUGAGAUGUUGGGUUAAGUCCCGCAACGAGCGCAACCCUUAAGCUUAGUUGCCAUCAUUAAGUUGGGCACUCUAAGUUGACUGCCGGUGACAAACCGGAGGAAGGUGGGGAUGACGUCAAAUCAUCAUGCCCCUUAUGAUUUGGGCUACACACGUGCUACAAUGGACAAUACAAAGGGCAGCGAAACCGCGAGGUCAAGCAAAUCCCAUAAAGUUGUUCUCAGUUCGGAUUGUAGUCUGCAACUCGACUACAUGAAGCUGGAAUCGCUAGUAAUCGUAGAUCAGCAUGCUACGGUGAAUACGUUCCCGGGUCU